Long non-coding RNA from Haliotis rubra (blacklip abalone), 402 nucleotides. RefSeq lists it as uncharacterized. The transcript has 2 exons. The record is from RefSeq and is a predicted model, not a curated record. Lineage: Eukaryota; Metazoa; Mollusca; Gastropoda; Lepetellida; Haliotidae.
UUACCCAUCAGAGAAUGGCUACCCGGUGAGAAUGGGACCGUUAACCUUCUUGCGCACUACAGGCGGCUUGGGUUAGCCGCGAAAUGCACGCUUUGUAAAUAACCAUUGUUAAACACGAAAUGUUUCACAACACAUAAUAAAACACAACAACCACUGAUCUUUAGAUGCACAUAAUAUCUUUAAUGUACGAGAACAGAAUGCCAGAGGAUGUUCUGAAUAUAACAAAAGAGUGCAUGGCAUUCCGGAACCAAACGCCCCUCUUUUUCACUGUAUUCACACCCCUCUUUUUCACUUCCAACACUCCGUACCAUUCCAAUAAACUUGCGUGUGUGCGGUAUUUGCGGUGUGUGCGGUAUUUACGUUGUGUGCGAUAUUUGCGGUGUGUGCGGUAUUUGUGGUGUG